GACGAACGCUGGCGGCGCGCCUAACACAUGCAAGUCGAACGAAGUGGCGAACGGGUGAGUAACGCGUGAGGAACCUGCCUUUCAGAGGGGGACAACAGUUGGAAACGACUGCUAAUACCGCAUGCUGAAAGAUGGCCUCGCGUCUGAUUAGCUAGUUGGUGAGGUAACGGCCCACCAAGGCGACGAUCAGUAGCCGGACUGAGAGGUUGACCGGCCACAUUGGGACUGAGAUACGGCCCAGACUCCUACGGGAGGCAGCAGUGGGGAAUAUUGGGCAAUGGGCGCAAGCCUGACCCAGCAACGCCGCGUGAAGGAAGAAGGCUUUCGGGUUGUAAACUUCUUUUGUCGGGGACGCGGUACCUGGCGAAUAAGCCACGGCUAACUACGUGCCAGCAGCCGCGGUAAUACGUAGGUGGCAAGCGUUGUCCGGAUUUACUGGGUGUAAAGGGCGUGUAGCCGGGAAGGCAAGUCAGAUGUGAAAUCCACGGGCUUAACUCGUGAACUGCAUUUGAAACUGUUUUUCUUGAGUAUCGGAGAGGCAAUCGGAAUUCCUAGUGUAGCGGUGAAAUGCGUAGAUAUUAGGAGGAACACCAGUGGCGAAGGCGGAUUGCUGGACGACA
This 620-nucleotide ribosomal RNA is filed under the name uncultured bacterium. Its description in RNAcentral is "bacterial SSU rRNA". It matches the Rfam family "Bacterial small subunit ribosomal RNA", at positions 28 to 738 of the family's 1533-position model. The record is from RNAcentral.